GGUGAUGUGACACGUGUCUCAAUCUUAUCCGUCCAAAUGUAAUAUAAAUCACCGGCCUCCGGCCACCGCUGCUCAGUCCCAGAGAAAUAGUUUAGUGUGUGUGUGUCUGUGUGUGAGAGAGAGAGAGAGAGAGAGAGAGAGAGCGAGAGCGAGAGCGUGAGCAAUGGAGGAAUGGGGAUUAGGGUUUCGUUUUGGUAGGCUGAUGUGGUGUUUUAGGGUUUCCGGUGUCGCAGCUUGCUCGGAUUCGCUUGGUGCAGCUCGGGAACGGCGUUGAUCUGAGUUUGGUCGGCCGGAUCCCGUCUUGCAUCAAUUGAAUCGGAACCAGUUUGUGACGAUCUCUCUGAGUUUUAUCAUGGUUAAUUUCAUUGUGUUAUUCAGUCCAAAGUUAUGGCCUUUCCUCAUGUUUUGUUUUGGUCUGAUAAACGAGGUUCUUGUGUAGUUCUUGACAGGAAUUUGGAGGAUCAUGUGCAGUUCGUGUCAGGAAUUUGGAGGUUCUUGCGCGGUUCCUGAGAGGAAUUUGAAUUGCCGGAACUUGAAUGCAGAUUGGUGCUCUUGGUUCAUUUCUUCUUUAGAUCUUUUGCACCUUUAAAUAAUUGCUUCUGUCUUCUUCAUUGUGCCGCAAGGUUGAACAGGGUUGCUUGGAUGAAUUAGGUUGAUAGUAUGAGAAAAAAAAGAAGCAUUUUUUAUCCCGCCCCUUGUGCGGGUUUACUCUUUUUUUUUUUUUAAGUUGCUUCCCUGGUUGAAGUUUUUUGUUUUUUAGUUGCUUCCCUGGUUGAAGCAGUUUGAUUUGGUGUUGUGCAGAUUAUCUGCGCUGGAAGUUGUGGUUCUUCAGCCUAUUAAUCCCUUGAAUUUUAAUUAAAAAACAGACCUUGAUUUCAAGUUUGUGAGGUUGAACUGAAAUAUUUGAUCUAUAUUUGGAAAGGGACGGUUGAUUCUCAAAUGCUUCUGUCUCAAUUGAUUUAUGAGUUCCAUCGAUUUGGAAUUACAUUCUUUGCAGAAAGAAAUGGUUUUUUUGGAUGAUUUUGCUGGAUUUUAGAGAUGGCAUUCCUAUUUUCUCUUGGUAUUACUGUACUACAGGUCGUUUGGGAUGUUUGUUGUAUCCUCUACCGUAAAAAGAUGACUGUGCUCAUGCAUCUAUUGCAUAAUGUCACUCCUUUCUCUUUGUUGUUUUCUUGCCACACUACUAUGCUUCUUUACAUAUUCACAAAUUUCCAAAAAAGAAUGUAUGGGAGGAAUUUGUCAAAUUUGAGAGAUGGCAUUCCUAUUUUCUCUUUGUAUUGCUCUACCACAACUCAUUCCAGCUGGUUUUUGUGUUCUCUACUUAACAAAAUGACUGUGCACAUGCAUCUAUUAUAUUAUGACAAGCCCUUUCUCUUUGUUGUUUGUUCCCUACUACUAUGCCUUGUUUUCAAGUUUGUUUAGUUGAAUUUAAAUAGUUGGUCUACAUUUGGAAAGGGACACUUGAUUUUCUAAUGCAUUCAUCUCAAUUGGUUUAUCAAUUUCAUUCUAUUUGGAAUUCAUGCGCUCUUACUCUGCCAUGGCUUUUCUAUGCUGUCUAUUGUAUCCUCAACUUUGCUCUAUUGAAUCACUCUCAAGCCUGAGCUGGAGCUCAUCUUGAUCAAAUAUCUCUCAAGCUCGAGCUCAGCUCAACCUUGGCACUUUCCAUAUUACCCUUGAAAAAAUCAUAUAAUUACAUAUAUAAUAUACGAUAUAUUAAACAAGUUGUAUCCUCUACUGUAACAUGUGCAUACAUACACAUGUUUAUGUGUAUAUAUUGUAUCGUUGCAUGCCUUUUUCUGUGUCAUGUCCUCUUUACUGUAGUACUACUUUACAUUAAUAAGGGAGUUCAGAUGAGAUCCUACCUCUUUGAGUUCGUUUCUUACAGGCUAGUGACUAACGGAACCAUUAAGUUCACAUUGAACUGAAAUGAGAUCCCUCGAGUGAUAGUAGCAUCUCAAGUGCAUUUUGUGUUAAGCUGAAUGACUUGGUCACCAUCAUAUAAGGUGUUGUUUAACAAUAAAAGUUCCAUGGUUGUUGCUAUGGGUGUUGAGGAAAUCUACUUUGCAUAGAGCUUGAACACUUUAGAUGACAGCAUACAACCGCCAGAGUUUAUACUUUAUAGGCAUCCUCCACCUUCUUUCCUUGCCAAAGCAAAGUUGACAUCUUAAGCCUUGCUGCUAGUCGUUUUGAAAUAUUAUAAUGGCCAAAUUGCUCCAGGUUUGAGUAUAAUGAUCUAAUUGCUAUUUUGCUGUGCUUAUGGCUUAGAAAGUGCAGAUAUUGAAGUGUCUUCUGAGAUUGUAUGUUUUGCAGGUUUUUGACUGAGUGAUUUAGAGAUGUGCCGUUCUCAUCUGAAACAAUUUUUGAGGUCACAGACUUAUAGAUGUGACAUGAUCAAUUAACAAGCUGGUGAAUUGACUAAAUCUGGAUUGGUUAGAGCUGGUUGAAGGCUUGGUGUAAGGAACUCAAGUGAGUUUAACAUGUGAGCCAGAGGCCAUUUUCAAAUACUGGUCAGGUUGCUUGUGUUGGACUGGAAUCUCUUGUUGUUGGUGUGACUGUGUGAGCUUCUUGCCAGUGGACUCUGAACCCCCGCAAUUUUGGCCACCAGGUUGUGCGUCAGUUUGAGGAGUGAGGAUAGGCGAGAAGGUGUUGCAGUCUCUCAAUCUCCUUCACAAAUCUUUCCACGGCGGGCCUUGGCAAGCAAACAGGCACAUGGACCUUUUACCAGACCUCCAUACAUUGUGUUCCCCCACCAAAAGUCCAUGUUCAUCAACUUUUUGUUGCAUCCCGACACAGUACGUUUGUUCUUGGUUAUGAAGGGAGGCCUCCAUAUGCAUUCGUCGACUCCAACACAUAUUUCAGAGGAUUGUCGCAAAACAUCUUCGCAUUUGCUACUGCUGGCAGGUAUCCAAAUGGCAAAUGAACUGCCAUAGAACCCCACUGCCGUUCAAAUGAUUAUCCAGACAGGCUCCUGAAUCAAGAUCAAUGAGAAUUAAGGGAUUCCCCUAGAACCCAUCAACAUUGAAGAUGAGCUGCUCCACAUGUAUGGGAAUGGUGGCUGCAGGCGGUCACCAAGAUCUUUGAGCCGGAUAUCAGCAUUGGCCGCAAUGAACAACACCCCCUCCCCAUUGCAACCCAAAGCAAGCUUCCUUACUGUCUUCUCCAGAAGCCAGCCGGGCUAAUGGAAGGUAGACACGAGAGCUUUGGCCAUGGCCUCCGUUGAUCACCUUUGCAGGAUCCCGACCACUCAUGGAUGCAUGGUUCGGCCAUCUAGAAAUAGAAACCAGGAAUAUAUGUGGAACCUUUGGGACUCAUGCUCGCCAAUGUCUGAGACGCUUGAGCCCAUGGGCGUGGGAUCUGGCCAUUCUGUGGGGGUCACCAGCACUGGCCUCCUCCUGCACUGUGAAAACCCGAGGGGAUGCUGCCAUGAUAUAUAUAUGAUUAGAGGGUAAAAGUGGGAGGGCAUGCAUGGUUACACCGGAAAAUAGCGUAGGCGAUGUGGGCAAUUGUGACUUUGUGAAAGUACUUGUCCGGACUGUAUUUUCUUGCGCAUCACACACUAAACGUUUUUUAAUCAGUCUUGUGAGGAACGACUUAUUGUUGAAUUGAUUAUUUUUUAAAAACUAUUUUUACUCUAA
Dioscorea cayenensis subsp. rotundata (Guinea yam) is the source of this 3635-nucleotide long non-coding RNA. RefSeq lists it as uncharacterized. Lineage: Eukaryota; Viridiplantae; Streptophyta; Magnoliopsida; Dioscoreales; Dioscoreaceae. The transcript has 5 exons. The record is from RefSeq and is a predicted model, not a curated record.